AUGAACGCUGGCGGCGUGCUUAACACAUGCAAGUCGAACGAAGCACUUUAUUUGAUUUCCUUCGGGACUGAUUAUUUUGUGACUGAGUGGCGGACGGGUGAGUAACGCGUGGGUAACCUGCCUUGUACAGGGGGAUAACAGUUGGAAACGGCUGCUAAUACCGCAUAAGCGCACAGCAUCGCAUGAUGCAGUGUGAAAAACUCCGGUGGUAUAAGAUGGACCCGCGUUGGAUUAGCUAGUUGGUGAGGUAACGGCCCACCAAGGCGACGAUCCAUAGCCGACCUGAGAGGGUGACCGGCCACAUUGGGACUGAGACACGGCCCAAACUCCUACGGGAGGCAGCAGUGGGGAAUAUUGCACAAUGGGCGAAAGCCUGAUGCAGCGACGCCGCGUGAGCGAAGAAGUAUUUCGGUAUGUAAAGCUCUAUCAGCAGGGAAGAUAAUGACGGUACCUGAGUAAGAAGCACCGGCUAAAUACGUG
This 480-nucleotide ribosomal RNA is filed under the name uncultured bacterium. Its description in RNAcentral is "partial 16S ribosomal RNA". It matches the Rfam family "Bacterial small subunit ribosomal RNA", at positions 29 to 507 of the family's 1533-position model. The record is from RNAcentral.